UAUACAUGCAGUCGAGCGGACUUUUAAAGCUUGCUUUUGAAAGGUCAGCGGCGGACGGGUGAGUAACACGUGGGCAACCUGCCUGUAAGACUGGGAUAACUUCGGGAAACCGGAGCUAAUACCGGAUAAUAUAAGGAACCUCCUGGUUCUUUAUUGAAAGAUGGUUUCGGCUAUCACUUACAGAUGGGCCCGCGGCGCAUUAGCUAGUUGGUGAGGUAACGGCUCACCAAGGCGACGAUGCGUAGCCGACCUGAGAGGGUGAUCGGCCACACUGGGACUGAGACACGGCCCAGACUCCUACGGGAGGCAGCAGUAGGGAAUCUUCCACAAUGGACGAAAGUCUGAUGGAGCAACGCCGCGUGAGCGAUGAAGGCCUUCGGGUCGUAAAGCUCUGUUGUUAGGGAAGAACAAGUGCGAGAGUAACUGCUCGCACCUUGACGGUACCUAACCAGAAAGCCACGGCUAACUACGUGCCAGCAGCCGCGGUAAUACGUAGGUGGCAAGCGUUGUCCGGAAUUAUUGGGCGUAAAGCGCGCGCAGGUGGUCCUUUAAGUCUGAUGUGAAAGCCCACGGCUCAACCGUGGAGGGUCAUUGGAAA
RNAcentral lists this ribosomal RNA (598 nucleotides) under Bacillus sp. CH147a_4T. Its description in RNAcentral is "bacterial SSU rRNA". It matches the Rfam family "Bacterial small subunit ribosomal RNA", at positions 50 to 632 of the family's 1533-position model. RNAcentral also lists the same sequence under 1 other name. The record is from RNAcentral. Lineage: Bacteria; Bacillati; Bacillota; Bacilli; Caryophanales; Bacillaceae.